UUACUUGGAUAACUGUGGUAAUUCUAGAGCUAAUACAUGCAAACAGAGCUCCGACCGGAGACGGAAGGAGCGCUUUUAUUAGAUCAAAACCGAUCGGUGGUGGAUCCGUCUGCCAUCGUACAAUUUGGUGAAUCUGAAUAACUUUAAGCUGAUCGCACGGUCUCGCACCGGCGACGCAUCUUUCAAAUGUCUGCCUUAUCAACUGUCGAUGGUAGGUUCUGCGCCUACCAUGGUUGUAACGGGUAACGGGGAAUCAGGGUUCGAUUCCGGAGAGGGAGCCUGAGAAACGGCUACCACAUCCAAGGAAGGCAGCAGGCGCGCAAAUUACCCACUCCCGGCACGGGGAGGUAGUGACGAAAAAUAACGAUACGGGACUCAUCCGAGGCCCCGUAAUCGGAAUGAGUACACUCUAAACCCUUUAACGAGGAUCAAUUGGAGGGCAAGUCUGGUGCCAGCAGCCGCGGUAAUUCCAGCUCCAAUAGCGUAUAUUAAAGUUGUUGCGGUUAAAAAGCUCGUAGUCGAAUUUGUGUCUCGCACCGCCGGUUCAUCGUUCGCGGUGUUAACUGGCGUGCCGCGGGACGUCCUGCCGGUGGGCUUAGCUCGAGAGGGCGGCCCAAAUCAAUCCUGCCGCGGUGCUCUUCAUUGAGUGUCGAGGUGGGCCGGCACGUUUACUUUGAACAAAUUAGAGUGCUUAAAGCAGGCUAAAAUUUCGCCUGAAUACUGUGUGCAUGGAAUAAUGGAAUAGGACCUCGGUUCUAUUUUGUUGGUUUUCGGAACCCCGAGGUAAUGAUUAAUAGG
Molecule: ribosomal RNA, 798 nt
Filed under: Ropalodontus perforatus
Lineage: Eukaryota; Metazoa; Arthropoda; Insecta; Coleoptera; Ciidae
Description: SSU rRNA
Rfam family: Eukaryotic small subunit ribosomal RNA
Source: RNAcentral